UUCAAGGGCAUGCAAGAAGACAUUCAACUCCCUGGAGAAAAGAAAACACAACAAAACGAUGAAGUUUUAUUAACAGGUUAUUUUGAGUCUGUUUCUUCAAAUUCCAGUUCAAAAGUUUGGACCAGGAUAAAUUGAGAGAAAAAACCUUGCCGUGAUUUUGCAAAGUUGGAGCCAGGGAACACACACGCAAGCCUUGAGUCUUUGCAUGGCAGUCCAACAGCAGGAGUGCUUGUAUACCACGCAGCUCCAUGCCGUAUCUUUUGAACAAAGAAUGAACCCAAGGAUGAAAAGCAGCCAGAAAGACUACAGAUGCCCCAGGAGAGCCUCUUCCCAUGCCUCACUCUGCCUCAGAGUCCCUGGCACUGGCGUCUGAGUGAGGAAGCAAGAGAGGUGAUCCUGAAGUCCUUAACUGCCCCGUAAGUUACCUGAAAGCCUGCUGUCCUCCCAGGACCUGUCCAAGCUGCACCUGAGGGAGAGAAGCCCACCUGCUCCAGCUCUUCCAGAGUAACAGCACUGACACAGGUGUUCCGUUAAAACCAGCAACCAACCCAGGAAGAUUGGAAUGGACUUGGUGGAGCAGGUUCCUGACUGGUCAGAGCAGAAGAAUACGUAUACAAUGAGAAAUACGCUUCUCUCUUAAAGUUAUUUAAACAACUGUUAAUCUUCCACUCAGUAGCUUCUAUGAUGUAGGAGCUGGGAGAGGGACCAGAACUCCAAUAGUAACACGACAGGACCCUAAAGAGUUUUGGAGCUCCUGGUCACAGUCCACAGUGGAGACAACACAGAACAGCUAUGACACAUUGGACCCUACACUUAACGCCCAGCGUCUUCUAAGAAGAGGAAACAGGGAGGAACCUACAGAAGGUGACCAAGGCAGAGGCUGGAGUGGUGCUGCCACAAGCCAAGGGUACCAGGAGUCACCGGGAGCUAGAAAAGGCACAGGCGGGUCUUCCCCAGGCUUUGUUGGGAGGGCCACCUUGCUGACACUUUCCUUUCCCACUUCCUGUUUCCGCUCUGUGAGAGGAAGUUUCUGUGUCCCAAGCCUCCACGUGUCUGGUAAUUUGUCUCAGCAGUGCUAGGAAAGUCUCUCAGCCUAUCCUGGAACUGAGGCUACUAGCACGAAUAUCAGGGAACACUUGUCUUAAGUUCAAAGAGUGAUGAUACAAAACAAAUGGGCAGCCUUAUAGUGAACGCAUCUGGAAAACUGUACAGAAUUAAAAUGUUUAAACUUAUGUUUAUUCCUUUCUUUCUUUUUCUCCUUUAGAGCUAGGUCUCAUCCUAUUGCUCAAGUUGGCCUCCAACUCCUGGGCUCAACUGAUCCUCCUGUGUAGCUGGGACAUCGGUGUGGGC
Heterocephalus glaber (naked mole-rat) is the source of this 1350-nucleotide long non-coding RNA. The record is from Ensembl. Lineage: Eukaryota; Metazoa; Chordata; Mammalia; Rodentia; Bathyergidae.